Molecule: ribosomal RNA, 253 nt
Filed under: uncultured bacterium
Lineage: Bacteria
Description: partial 16S ribosomal RNA
Rfam family: Bacterial small subunit ribosomal RNA
Source: RNAcentral
UACGGGGGAGCAAGCGUUGUUCGGAUUUACUGGGCGUAAAGGGCGCGUAGGCGGUCGUGACAAGUCACUUGUGAAAUCUCCGGGCUUAACUCGGAACGGUCAAGUGAUACUGUCGGGCUAGAGUGCGGAAGAGGCGAGUGGAAUUCCUGGUGUAGCGGUGAAAUGCGCAGAUAUCAGGAGGAACACCAAUUGCGAAGGCAGCUCGCUGGGACGUUACUGACGCUGAGACGCGAAAGCGUGGGGAGCAAACAGG